GGGGAUGACAUGGUUUCGACAGGGAUCAAUAACAAAGAUAAGCGAGUCGUUGGGCAGACAACGUAAAAAAGGCAACUUAAAUAUAAACGCAGAAGAUAACUUCGCAUUAGCUGCCUAAGGGCAGCCGACUCUAUAGAUAGACCCGUAAUAUCUAUCUAGUCUCAACUAUAUCGGGCAAUCUUUCCAAGCAAAGCUUUGAGCUUGAAAAGACAUUUAUGAAGCUACCAACUAACUAUAUUUGUUAAUUGAUUAGGUCAGUUGGGAAUCAAAUUCGAUUAACUACACUCGUAGAAAGUCUUUCGGACGGGUUUUUGGACAGGAGUUCGACUCUCCUCAUCUCCACCA
This 345-nucleotide transfer-messenger RNA is filed under the name Peptoniphilaceae. RNAcentral describes it as "JAAYEL01 sp012728755 Standard tmRNA". It matches the Rfam family "transfer-messenger RNA". From Rfam's summary of the family: Bacterial tmRNA, also known as 10Sa RNA or SsrA, is named for its dual tRNA and mRNA-like properties. Its role is to liberate the mRNA from a stalled ribosome. The record is from RNAcentral. Lineage: Bacteria; Bacillati; Bacillota; Tissierellia; Tissierellales. RNAcentral also lists the same sequence under 1 other name.